RNAcentral lists this ribosomal RNA (77 nucleotides) under Staphylococcus warneri. RNAcentral describes it as "partial 16S ribosomal RNA". It matches the Rfam family "Bacterial small subunit ribosomal RNA", at positions 1 to 77 of the family's 1533-position model. RNAcentral also lists the same sequence under 2 other names. The record is from RNAcentral. Lineage: Bacteria; Bacillati; Bacillota; Bacilli; Caryophanales; Staphylococcaceae.
UUUAUGGAGAGUUUGAUCCUGGCUCAGGAUGAACGCUGGCGGCGUGCCUAAUACAUGCAAGUCGAGCGAACAGAUAA